Molecule: non-coding RNA, 1765 nt
Organism: Coturnix japonica (Japanese quail)
Lineage: Eukaryota; Metazoa; Chordata; Aves; Galliformes; Phasianidae
Source: RefSeq, a predicted model, not a curated record
AUGGAAUGGGUGUGAGAAAGGAAGGGGACGUGGAUUUUGAGGCUGGAAUCACAGCCAUUUAUCUGAAAGCUCAGCCUGAAGAAGAGUGGAGGGAUCCCACAUCAUGAACUGCACCACUGCUGCAAUAUAUGUCAUGUACUGCCUGGAAGGUUUAUGGAGCGAAGGCCAACAGGACGGCUCCCAUUGGCUUUGUUGGGGCAGACACCCAGCUACUCCUGGUUUAUAACUCCGCAACGAGGAAUCGCAUCCAGACAGCAUGCAGUGACGCAUCAGAAGGAUGGCGCAGAUGAAGGGCGAAUAUUGAAUUCGGCGGUUAGCCUAAUGUGCACCUGUUGAGGAGCUGGUCUGGCAAGAUGUGCACGGGUGGCUGGCAAGCUGUCAAAGCCCAAGGUUUGCUCCUUUCCCAUGCACAGAAUUAAAGAAUCAUAUAGUUUGGAGAAGACCUUUCAGACCAAAGAUCAUCUCAUCCAACCAUCAGCUUAUUUGGACUCCAUAGGUCUCCAAAGGGACUCUAGCCAUCAACUUGGGUUGGACUCAAUAGGUCUCCAGAGGGACUCCAGCCAUCAACUUGGGUUGGACUCAAUAGGUCUCCAGAGGGACUCCAGCCAUCAACUUGGGUUGGACUCAAUAGGUCUCCAGGGGGACUCCAACCAUCAUCUUGAGUUGGUGGCUGGAAUGGGGGAAAAAAAACACCACAAAAACCCAACAAAAUUGGAUGCUGUGGAGUUGGGUUUUUCACCAAAAUGCCCAGUUUGGUUUGUUUUUUUGUUUGUUUGUUUGUUUGCCUUGUUUUGGCCACCCAAGAGAUGGAGAGCCCAAUUGGUGGUGACUCAACCGAGCUGAUGAUUGAAGUCUCAUUGGAGACCCAUUGAGUCUCAUCACUAAACCAUGUCCACUAGUGCCACAUACACACAUCUCUUAAAUACCUCCAAGGAUGGGGACUCUACCACUUCCCUAGGAAGGCCAUCCCAAUGCUUGAUCACCAUCUCCAUUGGGAAAUCCCUCCUAAUAAUCCAAUCUUACCCAGACGACGCAUGCUCAGCGUAGCACGGUGUGGCUCCACAGCCGUCCCCUGGAGCACCGUAACCGAGCCGGCUGCCGGCCGAGCCACGAGGAAAGGGUGGGGUGGCUGUGGACGUGUGUGCCAAAGUGUCGCCGUGCUGCUCACAGCCGACGUGCGGGACCGACGCAGCCGAGCGUGGAUAACUCCUGAGGUGCUGCAGUUGCUCACGUCCCUCCGGAGAGAGCAGCGAAUGCAAUGGGUCCCGGUUGGGGAGGGGGCUGAAAGGUGGGCAGGCAUCGAGUUACACAAAGGCAGCUGAACGCAGGGGGGGGUGAGGGGGAUGAUUGGCUUUGGGUCCCCCUCUUUUAUUUGUCGUCUUUCACUCUUCCCCCCCCCCUUCACCCCCCCCUCCUGCCUUUGUGUUUCUUUGUGAGGUUGGACAAAAAUCAUAACACCUUGGGAAUAGGCGAACGGCGGUACAAUGGAGCGUACUGUUCGAUUUAAUGGGAUCUCUUGAAUGGGAACGGCACGGAGGGGCUGCUUUGCUCAGGACUAACAGUGCCCUUUUUCCCCCCCUUCCUUACAUGUAUCAGACGGAAAACAAAGGUUUGGAACAGGCAUCCUUCUGCUUUGGGGCAGCAUUUAUCCUGAAGGGGAGGGGAAGGAGGAAAUCCUUCCAGCAGGUUAUGCUGAGCUUUUAGAAAUGCUGAGUCAGACCUUUAUAAUUACAAUAUUUAUCUUUAUUAUUAUUUUGAGGGGCUU